GUAGGGAGCGAGCGUUGUCCGAAGUUACUGGGCGUAAAGCGCGCGUAGGCGGGCUAUUAAGUGAGAGGUGAAAGGCUGGGGCUCAACCUCAUGCAGUGCCUCUCAUACUGGUAGUCUUGAGGGCGGUAGAGAGAAGUGGAAUGGCUGGUGUAGCGGUGAAAUGCGUAGAUAUCAGUCGAAACACCGGUGGCGAAGGCGGCUUCUUGGGCCGUUCCUGACGCUGAUGCGCGAAAGCCAGGGGAGCGAACGGGAUUAGAUACCCCGGUAGUCCUGGCCGUAAACGAUGGAUACUAGGUGUCGGGGGUAUCGACCCCUCCGGUGCCGCAGCUAACGCAAUAAGUAUCCCGCCUGGGGAGUACGGCCGCAAGGUUG
Molecule: ribosomal RNA, 372 nt
Filed under: uncultured bacterium
Lineage: Bacteria
Description: bacterial SSU rRNA
Rfam family: Bacterial small subunit ribosomal RNA
Source: RNAcentral